This 73-nucleotide transfer RNA is filed under the name Auricularia auricula-judae (jelly ear fungus). Its description in RNAcentral is "tRNA-Pro". It matches the Rfam family "tRNA". From Rfam's summary of the family: Transfer RNA (tRNA) molecules are approximately 80 nucleotides in length. Their secondary structure includes four short double-helical elements and three loops (D, anti-codon, and T loops). The record is from RNAcentral. Lineage: Eukaryota; Fungi; Basidiomycota; Agaricomycetes; Auriculariales; Auriculariaceae. RNAcentral also lists the same sequence under 1 other name.
CAGGUGGAAGUCUAUUUGGUAUGACGCAUCGUUUGGGUCGGUGAUCUUGCAGGUUCGAACCCUGUCCAUCUGA